GAAGGUCUAGCUCAGUGGCAGAGCGCGUGCCUAGCAUGCACAAGGUAGGGGGUUCAAUCCCCAGUGCCUCU
Molecule: transfer RNA, 71 nt
Filed under: Camelus ferus (Wild Bactrian camel)
Lineage: Eukaryota; Metazoa; Chordata; Mammalia; Artiodactyla; Camelidae
Rfam family: tRNA
About the family: Transfer RNA (tRNA) molecules are approximately 80 nucleotides in length.
Source: Rfam by way of RNAcentral